UAUAUAUUGGAAGGACUUCGGUCUGGAAGGUAUGUAUUCUAGUGGCGAACGGGUGAGUAACACGUGGGUAAUCUGCCUUGUAGUAAGGGAUAACAAGCCGAAAGGCUUGCUAAUACCGGAUGAGCUUUAGAUGUCGCAUGAUGUUUAAAGGAAAGGGGUAACUCGCUACAAGAUGAACCUGCGUCCCAUUAGCUAGUUGGUAGGGUAAAGGCCUACCAAGGCGACGAUGGGUAGCCGGCCUGAGAGGGUGAUCGGCCACACUGGAACUGAGACACGGUCCAGACUCCUACGGGGGGCAGCAGUGGGGAAUAUUCGGCAAUGGGCGAAAGCCUGACCGAGCGACGCCGCGUGAGCGAAGAAGGCCUUCGGGUCGUAAAGCUCUGUCUAGUGGGAAGAAAAAAAUGACGGUACCACUGGAGGAAGCCACGGCUAACUACGUGCCAGCAGCCGCGGUAAUACGUAGGUGGCGAGCGUUGUCCGGAAUUACUGGGCGUAAAGGGCGCGUAGGCGGAUCAUUAAGUUGGACGUGAAAUAUCCCGGCUCA
RNAcentral lists this ribosomal RNA (544 nucleotides) under uncultured bacterium. RNAcentral describes it as "bacterial SSU rRNA". It matches the Rfam family "Bacterial small subunit ribosomal RNA", at positions 62 to 611 of the family's 1533-position model. The record is from RNAcentral.